UGGGGAAUUUUGCACAAUGGGGGAAACCCUGAUGCAGCGACGCCGCGUGAUUUAGAAGGCCUUCGGGUUGUAAAAAUCUUUUCUAUGGGAAGAAAAUGACAGUACCAUAGGAAUAAGGACCGGCUAACUACGUGCCAGCAGCCGCGGUAAUACGUAAGGUCCGAGCGUUGUCCGGAAUCAUUGGGCGUAAAGGGUACGUAGGCGGGUAAGCAAGUUAGAAGUGAAAUCCUAUAGCUCAACUAUAGUAAGCUUUUAAAACUGCUCAUCUUGAGGUAUGGAAGGGAAAGUGGAAUUCCUAGUGUAGCGGUGAAAUGCGCAGAUAUUAGGAGGAAUACCGGUGGCGAAGGCGACUUUCUGGCCAUAACCUGACGCUGAGGUACGAAAGCGUGGGUAGCAAACAGG
Molecule: ribosomal RNA, 402 nt
Filed under: bacterium
Lineage: Bacteria
Description: partial 16S ribosomal RNA
Rfam family: Bacterial small subunit ribosomal RNA
Source: RNAcentral